GGGGAAUAUUGCGCAAUGGGGGAAACCCUGACGCAGCAACGCCGCGUGAGUGAUGAAGGUCUUCGGAUUGUAAAGCUCUGUCUUUGGGGACGAAAGAAAUGACGGUACCCAAGGAGGAAGCCACGGCUAACUACGUGCCAGCAGCCGCGGUAAUACGUAGGUGGCAAGCGUUGUCCGGAAUUACUGGGCGUAAAGGGUGCGUAGGCGGUAUGUUAAGUCAGAUGUGAAAUUCCGGAGCUUAACUUCGGAAUUGCAUUUGAAACUGGCAUGCUAGAGUGCAGGAGAGGGAAGCGGAAUUCCUAGUGUAGCGGUGAAAUGCGUAGAUAUUAGGAAGAACACCAGUGGCGAAGGCGGCUUUCUGGACUGUAACUGACGCUGAUGCACGAAAGCGUGGGGAGCAAAC
This 403-nucleotide ribosomal RNA is filed under the name uncultured bacterium. Its description in RNAcentral is "bacterial SSU rRNA". It matches the Rfam family "Bacterial small subunit ribosomal RNA", at positions 356 to 773 of the family's 1533-position model. The record is from RNAcentral.